GCAGCACAUGGGAGGAACAGCUAUGUGCCCAGCAGGAACAUCUGGAGAAGGAGAUGCAGGAGACCAGGAAAAUGAUGACUAGGCUUCAGGCCUUACUUGCUGCAUGGGUCACUACCUGAGGACGAGCAGACAUCUACUCUGAGCUUUGGAGAGAGUACCAGCUCAGAGCAACAGCUGAUUUUAAUCCGGAGUCGUCUGGACCAGAGUAUGGAGG
This is a long non-coding RNA of Cyprinus carpio (common carp), 214 nucleotides long. RefSeq lists it as uncharacterized. The transcript has 3 exons. The record is from RefSeq and is a predicted model, not a curated record. Lineage: Eukaryota; Metazoa; Chordata; Actinopteri; Cypriniformes; Cyprinidae.